This is a small nuclear RNA of Pipistrellus kuhlii (Kuhl's pipistrelle), 163 nucleotides long. RefSeq annotates it as U1 spliceosomal RNA. NCBI's taxonomy places the organism in Eukaryota, Metazoa, Chordata, Mammalia, Chiroptera, Vespertilionidae. The transcript has a single exon. The record is from RefSeq and is a predicted model, not a curated record.
CUCCUCACCUGGGAGGGGCGAUACUAGGAUCAGCGAGGUCUUUUUCCCAGGGGAGGCUCACCCAUGGUAUUCCUAGAAUGCUAACCCCUGCCAUUCCCACAAAUGCGGGAAACUUGAAUGCACAAUUUGUGGUAGUGGGAGACUGAAUUUGUGUUUCCCCUAA